Molecule: small RNA, 28 nt
Filed under: Bombyx mori (domestic silkworm)
Lineage: Eukaryota; Metazoa; Arthropoda; Insecta; Lepidoptera; Bombycidae
Description: ovarian small RNA-32915
Source: RNAcentral
UGAUGUCCGCGACAACCGUGACGAGCCU